CACGUAGGGGGCGAGCGUUGUCCGGAUUUAUUGGGCGUAAAGAGCUCGUAGGCGGUUCCGUUAGUCGGGUGUGAAAACCCCAGGCUCAACCUGGGGACGCCACCCGAUACUGCGAUGACUAGAGUCCGGUAGGGGAGUGUGGAAUUCCUGGUGUAGCGGUGAAAUGCGCAGAUAUCAGGAGGAACACCAACGGCGAAGGCAGCACUCUGGGCCGGAACUGACGCUGAGGAGCGAAAGCGUGGGUAGCGAACAGG
RNAcentral lists this ribosomal RNA (254 nucleotides) under uncultured bacterium. RNAcentral's name for it is "partial 16S ribosomal RNA". It matches the Rfam family "Bacterial small subunit ribosomal RNA", at positions 524 to 776 of the family's 1533-position model. The record is from RNAcentral.